This 1969-nucleotide long non-coding RNA is filed under the name Fragaria vesca (wild strawberry). RNAcentral describes it as "long non-coding RNA (FVES_LNC001873)". The record is from RNAcentral. Lineage: Eukaryota; Viridiplantae; Streptophyta; Magnoliopsida; Rosales; Rosaceae.
GGACAUGAACAAGGGUAGACAGACACCACCUCUCAGCGCUUUAAGCGUACCUAAACUCAAGACCUGCGAGGGAGGACAAACCUCUCGAAGUGGUGUGCCGUUAAAUGUAUUGGAAUCUGUAAGAAGACGACAGAAUUUUGACUUUGUUGAAGAGAACUAGAAUAAGGCUCAGAAAGUCAGAAAACAGGAAAAUCUCACCAUGAAAGAAGCUGAUUUUAUUAGCUUAUUAGGCACCUGAUGUAAAUAUGUUUAUAUCACUAGUUCACUACCACCAUAAAUGAAAGUUAUUAUUUAACUUCUCUGUUUUCUUCUCUGUUUUAUAGUUCAUUGAUCAUGUAUUUUAAUGAUCGAAAUUUAUAUCCUUGUAUUCACAAUUAUCAAACCUAAAAGUAAGAUUCUGAUUCUGUCGUAAACUAAAUCAUUACAUGUUAAUGCACACAUCGUUACAAUAUAUAUUAUGCACGUGCUAUUACUACCUAACUACAAAAUUAUUAUUAUUAUUAUUUUUGAAAAGGGAUUAUACAUUAUUAUACAUAAUUUGUUUGCAAAUUAUACAGUAUUUUGUUUGCAGAUUCUCAGCCAAUAUACAUAAUUUCACCAUAUAUAAGAAAAUGCCCAUUUAAUACUAAUUUAAACCCCUCAUUUCCUAUUCCAAUGACAAUCUUUUUCAUUAGCCCAUUUCAAUAUAAGGUAACAUUUUUUAUGCCUAAAUACACAAAUAAGGUAACUUUUUUUAUACACAAAUGCACAAAUCUUUACUAAAGUCUUAACAAACCAUAUUAUUUUAAGACUAUUUUGCUCUCACCCCUUAAACAUGCAUAGAAAGAGAGAAAAUGAAAGAGAGAAUACUUGGCCGGAAUCUCACCGGACUCUGGUCACCGGCCGCCGGUCGCCGAACUCCGGUCACCGGAAUUUCCCCGAUCGCGGGACUCUGGUCACCGGAAUUUCCCCAGUAACUAGUUACUGACCCCCAAUAACUAGUUACUGACCAAUUAAUGACCCUUAAUAACUAGUUACUCACCCCUAGUAACCAGUUACUGACCCCUAGUAACCAGUUACUGACCCCUAAUAAUUGUGUUACUGACCCCUAAUAAUCGUGUUACUAACCUCUAAUAAUCAGUUACUGACCCUUAAUAAUCAACUUAUUUCAGUUUAAUGUAAUAGAAAAAAAGAUUUACCAGAAAAUAAUCGAAUUACUGACCUUAAUAAUCGAGUUACUGACCCCAAUAACUUUUAGUUUUCAGUUACUGACACCCAAUAAUCACUUUGUUUUCAGUUACUGACACCCAGUAAUCACCCAAUAAUCACUUACUGACCCUCAAUAAUCAGGUUACAAACCUCAAAUAAUAACUUACUGGCCUCAAUAAUCACUUAUCAAUCCUCAAUAAUCACUUACUGACUCCAAUAUUCAAAUGUAAGGAUAAAAAAAAUAAAAAUAAACUAACUAACUUGAAUUGGACACCCACAUUUCUUCUUUGGGCACCCACCUUCCCCAACGGUGAGCACAACGACCUCCUCCACCGACCCCGGCGCACGCCGGCAAGCAACAACCUUCCCCAGCCACAAUCUAGCCCGGAUCGAACUACAGCAUAGCCCUAGCCCCGAGCGCGCCCCGGCAACACCAUCAUCGAUCUCGGCACGAACCCAGCCCCGACGUCGACGAGUUCAGAGGAGCGGCGGAGUAGGAAACCGAGGAGGGAGACUACAAUGGAGGAGGAGAAAGAGACCGCGCAUACCGCCAAAGAUGACCGGAGACUCAAAAACAGAGACGUCGACGAGUUCAUAGGAGCGGCGGAGUAGGAAACCGAGGAGGGAGACGACAAUGGAGGAGGAGAAGAGAAUGGAUGAGCCAGCAGGCUCUCGCCGUGAGUGAGCAACUGAGACGAGGCCGGAGAAGCUUUAAGAAGCAUGGUGAUGAAUUCUCAGAGGAAAACGAGGAGAGAGAGAGAGAGAGAGAGAGAGAGAGAGA